AUUGAACGCUGGCGGCAGGCCUAACACAUGCAAGUCGAGCGAGCGGCGGGCGGGUGAGGAAUGUCUGGGAAAAUGCGCGAGGGAGGGGGAGAACUACUGGAAAAGGGAGCUAAUACCGCAUACCAUCAGAGGUGCGCAGAGGGGAUUAGCUAGUGGGUGGGGUAACGGCGCCCCUAGGCGACGAGCCCUAGCUGGUCUGUGAGGAUGACCAGCCACCCUGGAACUGAGAAACGGUCCAGACUCCUACGGGAGGCAGCAGUGGGGAAUAUUUCGCAAUGGGCGCAAGCCUGAUGCAGCCAUGCCGCGUGUGUGAAGCAGGCCUUCGGGUUGUAAAGCACUUUCAGCGGGGAGGCGUUACCCGCAGAAGAAGCACCGGCUAACUCCGUGCCAGCAGCCGCGGUAAUUC
RNAcentral lists this ribosomal RNA (406 nucleotides) under uncultured bacterium. RNAcentral describes it as "partial 16S ribosomal RNA". It matches the Rfam family "Bacterial small subunit ribosomal RNA", at positions 29 to 526 of the family's 1533-position model. The record is from RNAcentral.